GAUUAUGACAAAGUGCCAGUGGCGGAGAGGACAGGCAGAUCGUAAAGACGCCGUCAAUCCCUCCCUAGAGGCUCGAACCGCGCCAUCCCUGGCGCGGACGCUUU
Molecule: non-coding RNA, 104 nt
Filed under: Yersinia aleksiciae
Lineage: Bacteria; Pseudomonadati; Pseudomonadota; Gammaproteobacteria; Enterobacterales; Yersiniaceae
Description: Yersinia sRNA 224
Rfam family: Yersinia sRNA 224
Source: RNAcentral